GCAUAACGCGAAGAACCUUACCACCUUUUGACAUGCCUGGACCGCCACAGAGAUGUGGCUUUCCCUUCGGGGACUGGGACACAGGUGCUGCACGGCUGUCGUCAGCUCGUGUCGUGAGAUGUCGGGUUAAGUCCCGCAACGAGCGCAACCCUCGCCAUUAGUUGCCAUCAUUCAGUUGGGAACUCUAAUGGGACUGCCGGUGCUAAGCCGGAGGAAGGUGGGGAUGACGUCAAGUCCUCAUGGCCCUUACAGGGUGGGCUACACACGUGCUACAAUGGCAACUACAGAGGGUUAAUCCUUAAAAGUUGUCUCAGUUCGGAUUGUCCUCUGCAACUCGAGGGCAUGAAGUUGGAAUCGCUAGUAAUCGCAGAUCAGCAUGCCGCGGUGAAUACGUUCCCGGGUCUUGUACACACCG
This 415-nucleotide ribosomal RNA is filed under the name uncultured bacterium. Its description in RNAcentral is "bacterial SSU rRNA". It matches the Rfam family "Bacterial small subunit ribosomal RNA", at positions 954 to 1392 of the family's 1533-position model. The record is from RNAcentral.